AGUCGAGCGGAUUGAAGACUUCGGUCUGAUGUUAGCGGCGGACGGGUGAGUAACGCGUGGGCGACCUGCCUUAUACAGGGGGAUAACAGUGAGAAAUCACUGCUAAUACCGCAUAAGACCACACUACCGCAUGGUAGAGGGGUAAAAGGAGCAAUCCGGUAUGAGAUGGGCCCGCGUCUGAUUAGCUAGUUGGAGAGGUAAUGGCUCACCAAGGCGACGAUCAGUAGCCGACCUGAGAGGGUGAUCGGCCACAUUGGGACUGAGACACGGCCCAAACUCCUACGGGAGGCAGCAGUGGGGAAUAUUGCACAAUGGGGGAAACCCUGAUGCAGCAACGCCGCGUGAAGGAAGACGGUUUUCGGAUUGUAAACUUCUAUCAACGGGGAAGAAAAAAAUGACGGUACCCGAAUAAGAAGCCCCGGCUAACUACGUGCCAG
Molecule: ribosomal RNA, 437 nt
Filed under: uncultured bacterium
Lineage: Bacteria
Description: bacterial SSU rRNA
Rfam family: Bacterial small subunit ribosomal RNA
Source: RNAcentral